This is a long non-coding RNA of Centrocercus urophasianus (Greater sage-grouse), 1555 nucleotides long. RefSeq lists it as uncharacterized. Lineage: Eukaryota; Metazoa; Chordata; Aves; Galliformes; Phasianidae. The transcript has 4 exons. The record is from RefSeq and is a predicted model, not a curated record.
AGGAGCCGUAUUGUCUACAGUAUUGUUAGGAAGAACGUUUACAAGCGUGCAAAAUUGUCAUAGCUUCGUGCUUGGAUUACUUAAUGUUCACGAGAGGGUGAGGGGAGAAGCCCCCGUGCUAGAUGCUGUGACGGCACUAUACAAACUCUUGCUGCGUGCCGCGUUAACGGUUUCAGAAGCUGAUUUAAAACAUAAAGGUCAAAUUCUUCCCUCUAUUUCACCUGAGCAGCAAAAGUGAGGCUGUGAAGGUUUUAUCUUAAGUAGCACAGUCAUUACCGUGUGAUCAAGUGAGGAAAGGGCCGAGCAGAUAGCUACGCUGGCGUGCUGAAUGGCUCACCGCAGCACCGUGCACACAGUUUAUUGUUUUCUUAGCAACCGCGACGCGGUGGACAUCUUACAGCCAAAAUAGCCCUGGCUUCAGCUCCCAGAAGAUUACAGCCUGGUCAGUGCGGGAAAAUCCCUGUGACUUGGUGUAGGGACCGUUGCCAUCAGAUUAGUGAAUGCUUAAGGUAAUAAAUCAGCUGCUGAAAUGAGGUUAAAGAAGGCAAGGAGAUAGGGAGCUGAUGGAAAGUAAUAAAUGGACGUAGAAAUCAGGUAAAGGAAAGAAGGUCUCUGGGCUGAGCUGAGCAGUUGCAUGGACAAUAAAAUCCUACACAGCAACUGAGAAACAUCUUUUCCUUAUAAUGUCCACUUUGUGAGGCUACUCAGCUGCGACAAGAGAAACACAUAACUGCUCUAAAGGGUCUGGCUCCAGGAAAUAGAUGGUUUUUUUCCUAUGAAAGCGAGUGAAUGUUUUCUUAUUUUCAGGAGCUAAUUAUAACUCCAGUCCAUGCUCUUGGGAUGGCUUUGACCCCUUUGCCCUGAUAACUGCAGUUUAAAGUGUUAAUGUGGCAGUUAAAGAUCACGGAGUGCUUGCAGCGCUCUCAGCCUGUCCCUCAGAACAGCGCCGAAAUAGCCGCGUCAGUUCCAAUCGUCGGUCUGGUUGUUAGAAGUGAUGCUUCCAUGGAUGUGGCAGGUGAACAAAGAAAAGUGUCCUUGCAAUGAAAACCCCAAAGUAGGAGCAGGCCUGUGGUCCUCUCUGGAAAUAAACAACACACUUGCCAUGCUGAGUCAUGUAGAUCUGUCACCAAAGAAAAGAGCCCUGAGUGAGAGCUGAACUAAUGGCAGGAUUCAGAGACUUGUGAAGAGCACAGCCUUGUCAACUGAAACUUGUGUGGGCUGCAACAACUCGUGAAAAGCACUGAAAUCGAAGAAGCUACUUGUAAAUUAUGCUGCUGCUCUGAUGCAUCUGUACAUCAAGGUGGGAUAGCAGGGUCUCCAACGGUUCAACCAAGCAGGAUGUCCUUAUGACUGCAGACAGUGCUGUUCCUCUCGCCACAAAGUUAAGCAAUGGAGGUAACCUGCCACAGAAUGCAAAAGCUCCUUACAGGCCCUAGAUAGGGAUCAUUAAAGCUGGAAGAUUUUUGCUGAAAGAGGCAGAACAUCAGCAUUCAGCAAGUACUCAAGCUGAGGGAGCCCCAUACAGAAGGAGCUGCGAUCUUCAGCCCAGUAACAA